UGGGGAAUAUUGCACAAUGGGGGAAACCCUGAUGCAGCGACGCCGCGUGAGUGAAGAAGUAUUUCGGUAUGUAAAGCUCUAUCAGCAGGGAAGAAGAAAUGACGGUACCUGACUAAGAAGCCCCGGCUAACUACGUGCCAGCAGCCGCGGUAAUACGUAGGGGGCAAGCGUUAUCCGGAUUUACUGGGUGUAAAGGGAGCGUAGGUGGUUUGGUAAGUCAGAUGUGAAAGCCCGCGGCUUAACUGCGGGACUGCAUUUGAAACUAUCAAACUAGAGUGCAGGAGAGGUAAGUGGAAUUCCUAGUGUAGCGGUGAAAUGCGUAGAUAUUAGGAGGAACACCAGUGGCGAAGGCGGCUUACUGGACUGUAACUGACACUGAAGCUCGAAAGCGUGGGGAGCAAACAGG
RNAcentral lists this ribosomal RNA (406 nucleotides) under uncultured bacterium. RNAcentral describes it as "bacterial SSU rRNA". It matches the Rfam family "Bacterial small subunit ribosomal RNA", at positions 355 to 776 of the family's 1533-position model. The record is from RNAcentral.